AUGUGUGUGUGCGUUCAUGCGCGCACGCGUGUAUUUGUGUGUGUGUGUGUGUGUGUGUGUGUGUGUGUGUGUGUGUGUUGGACCACUAGGACAACAUGGUACUUCUUCUACAUUCUUUUCUUACUACUUUCUUCUUCCUUACUUUCUUCUUUUUCUGUCCUCACCCUACAAUCUUCCACUUCCUUUCUUUUUCCCCUUCUGGAGAAACCUACAAAAUUGGCAUUGGAAGAAUUUCUCCUAGAUCUAUUCAAAGCCAGUUUUCUGGACUUCAGAUCAGAGCAUGCGGCAGUGGCCACACCCCGGACAACGGCUUCGACAGGCGGGCUAACCUUGUGAGUGUAGCCAUCGGGUCGUCGACCCCUGGUGAACCAGGUCUCUGCCCACCCAGCAUGUGAAGACUGCUUUGGCGGAACAGAUGGAAGAAAGCAAUAAGAAGGUUCAACGGCUGAGAUGGCAACGCAGCAAAGCACUGUGGAGUGCUUAGGGCGUGUUGGAGCACAAAAGACAACAUAGCCAUCCAAUGCAGCUGAGGAAGUCUCCAGGUGUAACGACUUUCCAUGACACUGGACCCAGGCUUCCAACGCCGAGAGAGUGGGACUGUCUCUGUGCAUCGACUUUUCCACUUAAAUCUCCUUCACGCACAAGUGUCUUUGUGCACACUCAUCUAUCAUAGAUGAAAACACACAAAGAUAAUCGUCAUUCUCGGUUACCAAGAGACUACUACCACAUAACACUAUGAAACAGGCACUCUGCUAAAUACUUUACAAAUAUUAUCUCAUUAAAACUUCAAAACAACCUUGUAAGUUCAAAGAUUUUAUUAGCUCAGUUUUGAAGUUGAGGAAAUGGAGGCAAACAGAAGUUAAGCAACUUGCCCAGGGUCACUUAGCUAGUAACUCAGGCCCAAUUUGAACAAAGGUCAUUUUGAUUCCAGACCAUGUCUCCCAAUUCUGAAAUUCUGUGGUUUGGGGAUGAUGGUUAUAACUUAUAUGUAAAAUUAAGAACAAUUUUAAUGGAAGUCAUCACAUUGAAAACUCAUGAUAUCUGAGCUACUUGGAAUGCAAGCUUUCAAAACAUAAAGACUUAAAGGAGGAAAUUAGAACUGUGUGUGAACAAGAAGUUCAAAUAAAUCCCAUCAUUCUGUCCUCUGCCA
Molecule: long non-coding RNA, 1150 nt
Filed under: Monodelphis domestica (gray short-tailed opossum)
Lineage: Eukaryota; Metazoa; Chordata; Mammalia; Didelphimorphia; Didelphidae
Description: lncRNA (ENSMODG00000045984.1)
Source: RNAcentral